Molecule: unclassified non-coding RNA, 293 nt
Filed under: Hevea brasiliensis (rubber tree)
Lineage: Eukaryota; Viridiplantae; Streptophyta; Magnoliopsida; Malpighiales; Euphorbiaceae
Source: RNAcentral
ACCCUCAGCAGCUUCCCGCCAAUUGUUUUUGCAGGGGAGGCGAGGAAGCUCGAGGAAAGAAUAGCCAGUGCAGCCGUGGGAAAUGCGUUUUUGCUUCAAGGUGGAGAUUGUGCAGAGAGUUUCAAAGAGUUUAAUGCCAAUAACAUUCGUGAUACAUUCCGGGUUUUGCUGCAGAUGGGUGUUGUUCUCACUUUCGGUGCCCAAAUGCCCAUCAUCAAGGUGGGAAGGAUGGCAGGCCAAUUUGCGAAACCUAGGUCGGAGCCAUUUGAGAUAAAAGAUGGUGUGAAACUCCC